Molecule: transfer RNA, 72 nt
Filed under: Camelus bactrianus (Bactrian camel)
Lineage: Eukaryota; Metazoa; Chordata; Mammalia; Artiodactyla; Camelidae
Also listed under: 2 other names
Rfam family: tRNA
About the family: Transfer RNA (tRNA) molecules are approximately 80 nucleotides in length. Their secondary structure includes four short double-helical elements and three loops (D, anti-codon, and T loops).
Source: Rfam by way of RNAcentral
GAGGGUGUAGCUCAGUGGUAGAGCACAUGCCUAGCAUGCACAAGGUCUUGGGUUCAAUCCCCGGCACCUCCA